RNAcentral lists this RNase P RNA (409 nucleotides) under Bacteroides intestinalis. Its description in RNAcentral is "RNase P RNA component class A". It matches the Rfam family "Bacterial RNase P class A". From Rfam's summary of the family: Ribonuclease P (RNase P) is a ubiquitous endoribonuclease, found in archaea, bacteria and eukarya as well as chloroplasts and mitochondria. Its best characterised activity is the generation of mature 5'-ends of tRNAs by cleaving the 5'-leader elements of precursor-tRNAs. The record is from RNAcentral. Lineage: Bacteria; Pseudomonadati; Bacteroidota; Bacteroidia; Bacteroidales; Bacteroidaceae.
GCAGUUGGUCGGUCUGUCGCUUGCGUCUCGGCGUAUGAGGAAAGUCCGGGCAACACAGAGCAUCCCACUUCCUAACAGAAAGCUGUCCGCGAGGGUAGAGUAACGUAGAAGAAAACAACCGCCUGCGUCUUCGGGCGUCGGUAAGGGUGAGAAGGUGGGGUAAGAGCCUACCAGUCUUGUGGCAACACAAGGGCUGUGCGUCUUGGGAGUUGUAAGGUCAUGUAAACCGACGCUAUGAGAGCUGCUCGCUCCAUGUCGGAGGGUAGACCGCUAAAGCUUGUAUGGUGACAUACGGCUCAGAUAAAUGAUGGACACCUUGAUGAAUGAAGAAUGAAGAAUUAAGAAUGAAUAAUGAAGAAUUCUUCCUGAAAACAAGGAACAGAACCCGGCUUACAGACCGACUGCUUUU